UUCCUGGUUGACUAGUGAUUAGGUCGUGAUGCUCUCACCCCCACGGCCUGGGUUCAAUUCCCGGCCAGGAAA
RNAcentral lists this transfer RNA (72 nucleotides) under Pangasianodon hypophthalmus (striped catfish). It matches the Rfam family "tRNA". From Rfam's summary of the family: Transfer RNA (tRNA) molecules are approximately 80 nucleotides in length. Their secondary structure includes four short double-helical elements and three loops (D, anti-codon, and T loops). The record is from Rfam by way of RNAcentral. Lineage: Eukaryota; Metazoa; Chordata; Actinopteri; Siluriformes; Pangasiidae.